GGACGGUCCCACCUCCGGCGGCACAGCACAGCACAGCACAGCGCAACACGGGGCGGGCCGGGGUGAGUCACCGCGCCGGGAGGCCCCGCCCCGCACCGGGACAGCGGAGGGGUCCGCCACCGCGCGGCCGGGAUGGGGCGGCCCCGAGGAGCUCCGCGCUGCCGGGAGAGCGGCGGGGUUCUUACCCGGAGAAUGGGUGGUACAGAGCGCGGGACUCAGGUGCCGUGCCCGGGGUGACCGUGCUGGGGGAUGUAAGGAUGGAGCGCAGCCCUGCCGAAAAGGACCUGGGAGUGCUGGCGGACAGGAGCCAGCAAUGUGCCCUCGCAGCCCAGAAGGCAAACCGUAUCCUGGGCUGCGUCAAAAGCAGCGCGGCCAGCAAGGUGGUUACGCUGAAUUGUGCUGACUGCAAAGCAGAGAGAUGCUGUGUUCCUGAGAUGACUCUCCGGUCCCAAAGGAAGGUUUUUGACUCCUGAAAUGAGCUGUGGGUGCUGCAGGCCUUCUCUCCAUCCUCAGCCAAGCACUUUCUUUCUCCGCACUGACCUCUGGAUGGGGAUGUGAAAAGCAGCACCGAGAGGCACAGCUCUGUUUGGUUCUGCCUUCAGAGAUGGGACAUUCAGGGAAUGUAGCUGCUGAGCUGCUGGUGCAAGCCGAGGGGUGCCCUAUGGCAGGGAAGGCUCUGCCAGCAGAGCAGCCGCCUCCCGCUGAGCCGAGGCGUGUUGGCGUGCCGGCAAUGCACUGAGCAGCUCUGUAAUAGCAGCUCCUAUCAAGGUGGUUUAGAUUAGCAUAAUGGACUCAGCAAAUCAGAAAUGUGUGCGGAGUCAGUGAGCACAGCCCCGCUGACAAGCUGUAACUUGAGAACCUGCUCUGUACAGGGGGACAAAUUUGGGCAAAUCUUAGAGGCUCAUCAAAGGCACGGCCUGGGACAAUGGGGCGGUUUCUGCACCACUUCAAGUUCCUGCUCCAAAAGCAAUAGAGGUUCCAGCAACAAAUGUGAGGGGUGGGAUAAUGUUGGGCAAGGAACUUUACUUUCUCUGGUAUAUUGUUUCUGGAAUGGCCAAAUUUUAGAAGAAGCUUUCCAAAAUACUCCAGCCUGGGGCAGGCACCUGGUACGGAAAUCCUCAUCCUGAAUGGCUUCAAACUUGGCAAUAUCUUCUAGUGAUUGAAGAAACUUGUAAUGAGAAGCACUAAGUAAUCAGCUACAUGGGGCACUACUUGUUUUAUCUGCCUCGUAAUUAAGUUUAAGGAAUGAAGUCAUUUCAGGUUGGAUAUUAGGAAAAAUAUCUGCUCAGGAAGAGCGGUGAUGCAUUGGCACAGCUGCCCAGGGAGGUGGGGCAGUCACCGUCCCUGGAGGUGUUUGAGAGCCGUGUGGAUGUGGCACUGAGGGCUGUGGUCAGUGGGCAUGGGGGGGGUGGGUCGCUGGUUGGACUCAAUGACCUCAGUGGUCUCUUCCAACCUUCAUGGUUCUAUGAUUGCUUGAAGUCACAUGCCUCUUCUAUUUUUAUACAGCUGCUUUCUUCUGAUGGCAAAAUCACCACUUAAAUACUUCUUUGUAUUAUAUGUGUCCUAAUAAAUGUUUCCAGAGAAUCUCUGCCGUUUUGAUUUUCUUGAAUUACAAAACCCAGGAAGAAC
RNAcentral lists this long non-coding RNA (1629 nucleotides) under Gallus gallus (chicken). Lineage: Eukaryota; Metazoa; Chordata; Aves; Galliformes; Phasianidae. The record is from RNAcentral.